CCUACGGGAGGCUGCAGUGGGGAAUAUUGGACAAUGGGCGAAAGCCUGAUCCAGCCAUGCCGCGUGUGUGAAGAAGGCCUUCGGGUUGUAAAGCACUUUCAGUGGGGAAGAAAGCCUUGGGGCUAAUACCCUCGAGGAAGGACAUCACCCACAGAAGAAGCACCGGCUAACUCCGUGCCAGCAGCCGCGGUAAUACGGAGGGUGCGAGCGUUAAUCGGAAUUACUGGGCGUAAAGCGCGCGUAGGCGGUCUGAUAAGCCGGUUGUGAAAGCCCCGGGCUCAACCUGGGAACGGCAUCCGGAACUGUCAGGCUAGAGUGCAGGAGAGGAAGGUAGAAUUCCCGGUGUAGCGGUGAAAUGCGUAGAGAUCGGGAGGAAUACCAGUGGCGAAGGCGGCCUUCUGGACUGACACUGACGCUGAGGUGCGAAAGCGUGGGUAGCAAACAGGAUUAGAUACCCCUGUGUC
Molecule: ribosomal RNA, 464 nt
Filed under: Vreelandella stevensii
Lineage: Bacteria; Pseudomonadati; Pseudomonadota; Gammaproteobacteria; Oceanospirillales; Halomonadaceae
Description: partial 16S ribosomal RNA
Rfam family: Bacterial small subunit ribosomal RNA
Source: RNAcentral